AUGACUGAAGAAAACUUCAGUGGAGUUUGGAGUGAGAUCAAACUAGAGCAGUCUCCCUCUGAGGUGAAGAGACCUGGAGAGAGAGUGAAGGUGUCAUGCAUCAUAUCUGGCUAUACCCUGACAGAGUACUAUUUGCACUGGAUACGACAGAGGCCAGGGAGAGCUCUGGAGUGGAUUGGUAGAAUGGAUACAGGAAAAAACUCUGCUCGCUAUGCCAGUACUUUCCAAAGCCGUUUCGUCAUGACUGAAGAAGACUCCAGCAGCAGACAGUACCUCGAAAUCAAGAGCCUGACAGCAGAAGAUUCUGCUGUUUACUUCUGUGCCCGUUACAGCACAGUGACUGAAAACAGAGGAAGAGCUGUACAAAAACACCAACUACUAAAGGGAUCUCACUGA
Pelmatolapia mariae (spotted tilapia) is the source of this 396-nucleotide non-coding RNA. Lineage: Eukaryota; Metazoa; Chordata; Actinopteri; Cichliformes; Cichlidae. The record is from the annotation of a RefSeq genome assembly.